RNAcentral lists this long non-coding RNA (557 nucleotides) under Homo sapiens (human). RNAcentral's name for it is "HSALNT0261348". Lineage: Eukaryota; Metazoa; Chordata; Mammalia; Primates; Hominidae. The record is from RNAcentral.
GGCUAAGAAGUCAUUUAGGGCCCCCUAGGGGGUUGGGUUAUGCCCACCAGGGAAGGGCGCCAAAUAUUGAGAUGUACUGAGGGUCUGGGGUCUCCAAGGUAUGGGUAGUGUCUAAUAAUGGGUGACAGGAGGCUGGGGGCAGUUAGAAGGACCUGGAACCAUCUAGAUGGCUUUAAUGUGACUGCAGGAAUGCAGUUUUGAUGCCUGGAGCAAAUUCGAAUGCCUUUGGGGUCAGAGCAGCUUGUGGCGAAUAAUAAUACGGAAAGAGAAUGAGGAAAUUUUGCCCAGCUUAGAUAUACUUGCCCUUCAGACAGUAAUUCAAAUGAAAAAUGUUUUAAGAUUCUGCAUUACCCUGGGGGUUAUUGAGAGAGUUAGAAUUAAUCUACAUUAGUCUGGAAGAGUCUGGAGGGUCAUCUAGACCCACUAUUACAGUGCUUUUCAAGGGGAAACCUGGGCCAUGUUGACCGUGAUCUGCAUUAAGAUACAUUUUUUCAUUGAGACCUGGUACAGACAGUCAUAAUGUAUUUAACAUUAUAUAACAUAAUGUAUUAACAUUA